This 253-nucleotide ribosomal RNA is filed under the name uncultured bacterium. Its description in RNAcentral is "partial 16S ribosomal RNA". It matches the Rfam family "Bacterial small subunit ribosomal RNA", at positions 524 to 776 of the family's 1533-position model. The record is from RNAcentral.
UACGAAGGGGGCGAGCGUUGUUCGGAUUUACUGGGCGUAAAGGGCGCGCAGGCGGCGAUCUUUGUCAGGCGUGAAAGCCCCGGGCUUAACCUGGGAACUGCGCUUGGGACGGGAUUGCUGGAGACCGGGAGAGGAGAGUGGAAUUCCCAGUGUAGAGGUGAAAUUCGUAGAUAUUGGGAAGAACACCGGUGGCGAAGGCGGCUCUCUGGACCGGAUCUGACGCUGAAGCGCGAAAGCGUGGGGAGCUAACAGG